UCCUACGGGAGGCAGNAGUGGGGAAUCUUGCGCAAUGCGCGAAAGCGUGACGCAGCAACACCGCGUGAGGGAAGACGGCCUUAGGGUUGUNAACCUCUUUCAGAUGGGACGAAGGUGAUGCGGUGAAUAGCCGAUGUCAUUGACGGUACCGUCAGAAGAAGCUCCGGCUAACUACGUGCCAGCAGCCGCGGUAAUA
This 196-nucleotide ribosomal RNA is filed under the name uncultured bacterium. RNAcentral's name for it is "partial 16S ribosomal RNA". It matches the Rfam family "Bacterial small subunit ribosomal RNA", at positions 337 to 525 of the family's 1533-position model. The record is from RNAcentral.